AGGGGUAGGAUAGCAAUAUCUGAGACCGGCGCACGGGUGCGUAACGCGUAUGCAAUCUACCUUUUACAGAGGGAUAGCCCAGAGAAAUUUGGAUUAAUACCUCAUAGCAUAACGACCUGGCAUCAGGAUGUUAUUAAAGUCACAACGGUAAAAGAUGAGCAUGCGUCCCAUUAGCUUGUUGGUAAGGUAACGGCUUACCAAGGCUACGAUGGGUAGGGGUCCUGAGAGGGAGAUCCCCCACACUGGUACUGAGACACGGACCAGACUCCUACGGGAGGCAGCAGUGAGGAAUAUUGGACAAUGGGCGCAAGCCUGAUCCAGCCAUGCCGCGUGCAGGAUGAAGCAUCUAUGGUGUGUAAACUGCUUUUAUACGAGAAGAAACACUCCUUCGUGAAGGAGCUUGACGGUAUCGUAAGAAUAAGGACCGGCUAACUCCGUGCCAGCAGCCGCGGUAAUACGGAGGGUCCAAGCGUUAUCCGGAAUCAUUGGGUUUAAAGGGUCCGUAGGCGGUUUGAUAAGUCAGUGGUGAAAUCUUUCGGCUCAACCGAGAAAUGGCCAUUGAUACUGUCAGACUUGAAUUAUUAGGAAGUAACUAGAAUAUGUAGUGUAGCGGUGAAAUGCUUAGAGAUUACAUGGAAUACCAAUUGCGAAGGCAGGUUACUACUAAUGGAUUGACGCUGAUGGACGAAAGCGUGGGUAGCGAACAGGAUUAGAUACCCUGGUAGUCCACGCCGUAAACGAUGGAUACUAGCUGUUGGGA
RNAcentral lists this ribosomal RNA (760 nucleotides) under uncultured Bacteroidota bacterium. RNAcentral describes it as "bacterial SSU rRNA". It matches the Rfam family "Bacterial small subunit ribosomal RNA", at positions 65 to 828 of the family's 1533-position model. Lineage: Bacteria; Pseudomonadati; Bacteroidota. The record is from RNAcentral.